CUAGGAUUAGAUACCCUAUUAUUUAAAAUGUAAAAACUAGAGUAUUAAUAGAUAUGGUCUUUAAACUUAAAAAAUUUGGCGGUAUUUUAGUCUAUUCAGAGGAACCUGUUUUGUAAUCGAUAUUCCACGUUGAACCUUACUUUAAUUUAUAAAUUAGUUUAUAUACCGUCGUUAUAAAAAAUUUUAUUAGAAAAAUAAUUUUUAAAAUUUUAUAUCAGAUCAAGGUGUAGCUUAUAUUAAAGAAAAUAAUGGGUUACAAUAAAAUUAUUUAUAUGAAUAUAAAAAUGAAAAAUUUAUUGAAAGAGGAUUUGAAAGUAAAAUUAAAUAGAUUAUUAAUUUGAUUUUAGCUCUAAAAUAUGUACAUAUCGCCCGUCACUCUUAUUAUUAAAAUAAGAUAAG
Molecule: ribosomal RNA, 399 nt
Filed under: Melaloncha thompsonae
Lineage: Eukaryota; Metazoa; Arthropoda; Insecta; Diptera; Phoridae
Description: partial 12S ribosomal RNA
Source: RNAcentral